RNAcentral lists this unclassified non-coding RNA (1003 nucleotides) under Hevea brasiliensis (rubber tree). The record is from RNAcentral. Lineage: Eukaryota; Viridiplantae; Streptophyta; Magnoliopsida; Malpighiales; Euphorbiaceae.
UCAUAUCUACAAUUGAACCUUGCAAACAGUGAAUUCCCAAUUCGCGGAUGAGCAGGAAGAGCUAGCAGAGGGAGCAGAAAUGGCGAGCUAUCUAUGGAGAAAAUACGCGGACUAUCGAUACACCAAGUGGGAAAGAACGAUUCUUUGGGAUAUGAUAGAGCCAUACAAGAAACCCAAAUCGUUUACUCCUCUGGUCACUAUUUAUGUAGCCGCUUUCUACACCGGGGUCAUUGGCGCUGCCAUCACUGAGCAACUCUACAAGGAGAAGUACUGGGAAGAUCAUCCAGGUGAAGCAGUUCCUCUCAUGAAGCCAAAGUUCUACUCUGGUCCUUGGAAGGUGCUUAGAGGAGAGGUUCUGCCACCCAAUCAGUGAAAACUGCUGCAAUCAUUUUACUUUUUUCUGGAGUUCCUUCCAUUUUCUCCCCCUUUUUGUUCUAUUGUGUAGGUGGCACAGGUUUGAUAGAUGUUAUCAAUAAAGUAUACCGUUGCUUGAAAAAAUAAUUAGAACAACCUUGUCAUGGUGAUGGUGCUUUUGGUUGCCCAGUGCAUAAUUGAACAGGAAGCUUGUUUAGCCCCCUUUGAUAUGUUGUUUGUAUUUGGAAAACCGAGGUGUUUUCAUUAACCAAAAAUAUAUCACUUUGCUUCACAGAUAUCAAAUCAUGACAUCCAUUAAAAUCCCUGCACAACACCUGUUCCCUGUUUUUCUGUUUUUUCAGAUGUAGAAUGAAGAGAGUGCUUUAAUAUUUUACCUUUUAGAUAGCGAGAUCCAUGAGAUUAGUUGGGGUUUUUAUUUUGAUAUGUUCAGGGUUGAACGUUCUUUCUUUUAUGUGUUCACUCGUGUAAUUGUUAAGAAAUUGCAUAAUCAUCAUCCUAUGUUCUGAAAUUUGGCAGUUUGGUAUCGCCUAACUUGUAUAACAUUCAGAUUCAGUCAUUUAUCUCAAAGGGAAACAUUCUCUUUGUGAAAAUGAUUUUUACUAGGAAACGAUUGUAUAAAUUAAAGAUC